CUCAAGGGCUCAAACACAAACCCACUCCACCUAUACAAACGUGCACAAACACCUUCACUCAGAUCCCCACUACAAACAAUAAACUAUGUCUCUCCCUUGUGUGGUCUCUUUAAUACACUAUGUAAGUGAACAGCAAAUUAACUGCUGUUGGUGUGAAAAUACACCAGGUGUCAUGGUGGGCAGAGGUCAGAGGCCUAAUAGCCCAAAGUAAGCAAGG
This is a non-coding RNA of Pelobates cultripes (western spadefoot toad), 217 nucleotides long. The record is from the annotation of a GenBank genome assembly. Lineage: Eukaryota; Metazoa; Chordata; Amphibia; Anura; Pelobatidae.